RNAcentral lists this ribosomal RNA (245 nucleotides) under uncultured Desulfobacterium sp. Its description in RNAcentral is "partial 16S ribosomal RNA". It matches the Rfam family "Bacterial small subunit ribosomal RNA", at positions 1138 to 1382 of the family's 1533-position model. The record is from RNAcentral. Lineage: Bacteria; Pseudomonadati; Thermodesulfobacteriota; Desulfobacteria; Desulfobacterales; Desulfobacteriaceae.
CUCUAAGGUGACUGCCGGCUAAAAGUCGGAGGAAGGUGGGGAUGACGUCAAAUCAUCAUGCCCCUUAUGCCCAGGGCUACACACGUGCUACAAUGGGCGGUACAAAGGGUAGCGAUCCCGCGAGGAGGAGCCAAUCCCAAAAAACCGUCCCAAGUUCGGAUUGGAGUCUGCAACUCGACUCCAUGAAGUUGGAAUCGCUAGUAAUCGCGGAUCAGCAUGCCGCGGUGAAUACGUUCCCGGGCCUU